Molecule: ribosomal RNA, 467 nt
Filed under: uncultured bacterium
Lineage: Bacteria
Description: partial 16S ribosomal RNA
Rfam family: Bacterial small subunit ribosomal RNA
Source: RNAcentral
ACGCACGCUGGCGGCGUGCUUUACACCUGCAAGUCGAACGGCAAGGCCCUGCUUUUGUGGGGUGCUCGAGUGGCGAACGGGUGAGUAACACGUGAGUAACCUGCCCUUGACUUUGGGAUAACUUCAGGAAACUGGGGCUAAUACCGGAUAGGAGCUCCUGCUGCAUGGUGGGGGCUGGAAAGUUUCGGCGGUUGGGGAUGGACUCGCGGCUUAUCAGCUUGUUGGUGGGGUAGUGGCUUACCAAGGCUUUGACGGGUAGCCGGCCUGAGAGGGUGACCGGCCACAUUGGGACUGAGAUACGGCGCAGACUCCUACGGGAGGCAGCAGUGGGGAAUAUUGCACAGUGGGCGGAAGCCUGAUGCAGCAACGCCGCGUGCGGGAUGACGGCCUUCGGGUUGUAAACCGCUUUCGCCUGUGACGAAGCGUGAGUGACGGUAAUGGGUAAAGAAGCACCGGCUAACUACGUG